AUUGAACGCUGGCGGCAUGCCUUACACAUGCAAGUCGAACGGUAACAGGUCUUCGGAUGCUGACGAGUAGCGAACGGGUGAGUAAUACAUCGGAACGUGCCUAGUAGUGGGGGAUAACUACUCGAAGGAGUGGCUAAUACCGCAUGAGAUCUACGGAUGAAAGCAGGGGAUCGCAAGACCUUGUGCUACUAGAGCGGCCGAUGGCAGAUUAGGUAGUUGGUGGGAUAAAAGCUUACCAAGCCGACGAUCUGUAGCUGGUCUGAGAGGACGAUCAGCCACACUGGGACUGAGACACGGCCCAGACUCCUACGGGAGGCAGCAGUGGGGAAUUUUGGACAAUGGGCGCAAGCCUGAUCCAGCAAUGCCGCGUGCAGGAUGAAGGCCUUCGGGUUGUAAACUGCUUUUGUACGGAACGAAAAGCCCCGGGUUAAUACCCUGGGGUCAUGACGGUACCGUAAGAAUAAGCACCGGCUAACUACGUGCCAGCCGCCGCGGUAA
This 498-nucleotide ribosomal RNA is filed under the name uncultured bacterium. RNAcentral describes it as "partial 16S ribosomal RNA". It matches the Rfam family "Bacterial small subunit ribosomal RNA", at positions 30 to 523 of the family's 1533-position model. The record is from RNAcentral.